This 164-nucleotide ribosomal RNA is filed under the name uncultured bacterium. Its description in RNAcentral is "partial 16S rRNA". It matches the Rfam family "Bacterial small subunit ribosomal RNA", at positions 355 to 511 of the family's 1533-position model. The record is from RNAcentral.
UAGGGAAUCUUCCACAAUGGGCGAAAGCCUGAUGGAGCAACGCCGCGUGUGUGAUGAAGGGUUUCGGCUCGUAAAACACUGUUGUAAGAGAAGAACAUAUCUGAGAGUAACUGUUCAGGUAUUGACGGUAUUUAACCAGAAAGCCACGGCUAACUACGUGCCAG